RNAcentral lists this ribosomal RNA (492 nucleotides) under uncultured bacterium. RNAcentral's name for it is "partial 16S ribosomal RNA". It matches the Rfam family "Bacterial small subunit ribosomal RNA", at positions 29 to 507 of the family's 1533-position model. The record is from RNAcentral.
AGUGAACGCUGGCGGCAGGCCUAACACAUGCAAGUCGAACGGCCGCACAGUUAGAGCUUGCUCUUGCGGGUGGCGAGUGGCGUACGGGUGUGGACUACAUUGCGAUCUACUUCUUCGUGGGGGAUGCUGAUAGGAGACUCACGCUAAUACCGCAUACGUCAUAUGGCGGAAAGCAGGCGCGCGUCGGACUUUCUACGUUUGAAUGUGCCGACGUCGGAUUAGCUAGUUGGCGGGGUAAAGGCCCACGAAGGCGACGCUCCGUAGCUGGUCUGAGAGGAAGAUCAGGCACACUGGAACUGAGGCAGGGUCCAGACUCCGGCGGGAGGCAGCAGUGGGGAAUAUUGGACGAGGGAGGAGAGCCGGAUCCAGCAAUACCGCGUGGGUGAAGAAGGACUUCGGGUUGUAGAGCCCUUUUGUUGGGAGAGAAGAGCAGCAGGUUAAUACCCCGCUGUACUGACGGUACCGAAAGAAUAAGCACCGGCUAACUUCGUG